GGGGAGAGUGGCGAACUGGUGAGUAACGCGUGGGUGACCUGCCCCGAAGACGGGGAUAGCCGUUGGAAACGACGGCUAAUACCCGAUAUACUCGGUGAUUCGGUUCAUCGAGUAAAGGCUCCGGUGCUUCGGGAUGGGCCUGCGGNCUAUCAGCUAGUUGGUGGGGUAAUGGCCCACCAAGGCGAAGACGGGUAGGGGGCGUGAGAGCGCGGCCCCCCACACUGGCACUGAGAUACGGGCCAGACUUCUACGGAAGGCAGCAGUCGGGGAUAUUGCACAAUCGGCGAAAGCCGGAUGCAGCGACGCCGCGUGGGCGAUGAAGGCCUUCGGGUUGUAAAGCCCUUUUAUGGGGGAAGAGACAAGGACGGUACCCCAAGAAUAAGCGUCGGCUAACUACGUGCCAGCAGCCGCGGUAAAACGUAGGACGCAAGCGUUAUCCGGAUUUACUGGGCGUAAAGAGCGUUGAGGCGGUUCCGUAAGUUGGGCGUGAAAGCCCCGGGCUUAACCCGGGGAGGUCGUUCAAUACUGCGGGACUUGAGGGCAGCAGAGGGAGGCGGAAUUCCCGGUGUAGCGGUGAAAUGCGUAGAUAUCGGG
RNAcentral lists this ribosomal RNA (594 nucleotides) under uncultured organism. Its description in RNAcentral is "bacterial SSU rRNA". It matches the Rfam family "Bacterial small subunit ribosomal RNA", at positions 88 to 701 of the family's 1533-position model. The record is from RNAcentral.